Molecule: ribosomal RNA, 443 nt
Filed under: uncultured bacterium
Lineage: Bacteria
Description: partial 16S ribosomal RNA
Rfam family: Bacterial small subunit ribosomal RNA
Source: RNAcentral
CCUACGGGGUGCAGCAGUGGGGAAUAUUGGACAAUGGGGGGAACCCUGAUCCAGCGACGCCGCGUGAGUGAAGAAGUAUUUCGGUAUGUAAAGCUCUAUCAGCAGGGAAGAAAGAAAUGACGGUACCUGACUAAGAAGCCCCGGCUAACUACGUGCCAGCAGCCGCGGUAAUACGGAGGGGGCAAGCGUUAUCCGGAUUUACUGGGUGUAAAGGGAGCGUAGACGGCGAUGCAAGUCUGAAGUGAAAGGCGGGGGCCCAACCCCCGGACUGCUUUGGAAACUGUAUGGCUUGAGUGCAGGAGAGGUCAGAGGAAUUCCUAGUGUAGCGGUGAAAUGCGUAGAUAUUAGGAAGAACACCAGUGGCGAAGGCGGCUUACUGGACUGUAACUGACGUUGAGGCUCGAAAGCGUGGGGAGCAAACAGGAUUAGAUACCCCUGUAGUC